UCCGUAGGUGAACCUGCGGAAGGAUCAUUAAAAGUGAGAGAUCCAAUGGUGCAACUGCCAGUGGGAGUGGGGUCUAAGAAGAUCUGCGUGGUAUUUUCAAAUCUUGGAUCCUUUUAGGAGCACUCACAUGGAAAGUAAGUCUCCAGUGCGUGACCUAAGCCAGACAACCAGUCUAUGUAGGUGCCUAACAAAGUUAAGUAACUUAGGAAUCGGUGUCUAACCUACAGGAUUUUUGGGAUGCUGACAGCGACAUUCCGGCUGCUAAACAGCAAAUCCCCCCCAGGCUUAACAGGUCACCCACUGGCAGCAAUCUGUGGACGAGACGUCCUAAGUCAGACUGAGGGUCAGAAAGAGAGAAAAGCGCGCAUUGAGCUCCCCUGCUCUGCUGCUGUUGUGCUGUUGGGUCUCCCCAAAAACCGGGUGUGAAGGGUGGUUCGCAACUGCUCUUCACAUGUCUGGACCCGUGUCUUUGUGUACUACUUGUUUCCUCGGUGGGCUCGCCCACCAACGAGGACCAACCCAAACCCUUUGUUGUAGUCGUACUGUCUGAGAAUUAAACAAACUAUCAAAACUUUCAACAACGGAUCUCUUGGUUCUGGCAUCGAUGAAGAACGCAGCGAAAUGCGAUAAGUAGUGUGAAUUGCAGAAUUCCGUGAAUCAUCGAAUCUUUGAACGCACAUUGCGCCCUUUGGUAUUCCUUAGGGCAUGCCUGUUCGAGCGUCAUUUAGACCCUCAAGCUAUGCUUGGUGUUGGGUGCCUGUCCUGCCUGUGGCUGGACUCGCCUUGAAGACAUUGGCGGUUGUUGUAUCGGCUGGAAGCGCAGCAGAGACGCGCCUCUCCUGGCCUGAUGCCCUCCCCCAAGAAGCCAAACCUAUGACUUGACCUCGGAUCAGGUAGGGAUACCCGCUGAACUUAAGCAUAUCAAUAAGCGGAGGAAAAGAAACCAACAGGGAUUGCCCUAGUAACGGCGAGUGAAGCGGCAACAGCUCAAAUUUGAAAUCUGGUCCUUUCAGGGCCCGAGUUGUAAUUUGCAGAGGGUGCUUUGGUGUCGGCAUUGGCCUAAGUUCCUUGGAACAGGGCGUCGCAGAGGGUGAGAACCCCGUAUGUGGCCCAUUGCCUUCGCCAUGUAAAGCCCCUUCGACGAGUCGAGUUGUUUGGGAAUGCAGCUCUAAAUGGGAGGUAAAUUUCUUCUAAAGCUAAAUACUGGCCAGAGACCGAUAGCGCACAAGUAGAGUGAUCGAAAGAUGAAAAGCACUUUGGAAAGAGAGUCAAAAAGCACGUGAAAUUGUUGAAAGGGAAGCGCUUGCAGCCAGACUUGUCUGUAGUUGUUCAUUCGCACUCAUUGAGCGAUGCACUCAUCUACGGGCAGGCCAGCAUCAGUUCUGGCGGUUGGACAAAGGCCCACUUCAUGUACCUUCCCCUCGUGGUUGGCCUUAUAGAGUGGGUGAAAUGCAACCAGCUGGAACUGAGGUCCGCGCAUCUGCUAGGAUGCUGGCGUAAUGGC
RNAcentral lists this unclassified non-coding RNA (1504 nucleotides) under Pleosporales sp. KO-groupE 2014. RNAcentral describes it as "partial contains ITS1, 5.8S rRNA, ITS2 and LSU". The stretch from base 880 to 1504 matches the Rfam family "Eukaryotic large subunit ribosomal RNA", at positions 1 to 638 of the family's 3401-position model. The record is from RNAcentral. Lineage: Eukaryota; Fungi; Ascomycota; Dothideomycetes; Pleosporales.